AGUGAACGCUGGCGGUAGGCCUAACACAUGCAAGUCGAACGGCAGCACAGUAAGAGCUUGCUCUUACGGGUGGCGAGUGGCGGACGGGUGAGGAAUACAUCGGAAUCUACUUUUUCGUGGGGGAUAACGUAGGGAAACUUACGCUAAUACCGCAUACGACCUACGGGUGAAAGCAGGGGAUCUUCGGACCUUGCGCGAUUGAAUGAGCCGAGGUCGGAUUAGCUAGUUGGCGGGGUAAAGGCCCACCAAGGCGACGAUCCGUAGCUGGUCUGAGAGGAUGGUCGGCGACACUGGAACUGAGACACGGUCCAGGCGACUACGGGAGGCAGCAGUGGGGAAUAUUGGACAAUGGGCGCAAGCCUGAUACAGCCAGACCGCGUGUGAGAAGAAGGCCUUCGGGUUGGAAAGACCUUUUGUUGGGAAAGAAAAGCAGCAGGUUAAGACCCCGCUGUUCUGACGGUACCCAAAGAAGAAGCACCGGCUAACUUCGUG
RNAcentral lists this ribosomal RNA (492 nucleotides) under uncultured bacterium. Its description in RNAcentral is "partial 16S ribosomal RNA". It matches the Rfam family "Bacterial small subunit ribosomal RNA", at positions 29 to 507 of the family's 1533-position model. The record is from RNAcentral.